RNAcentral lists this unclassified non-coding RNA (353 nucleotides) under uncultured fungus. Its description in RNAcentral is "sequence contains ITS1". The stretch from base 1 to 105 matches the Rfam family "5.8S ribosomal RNA", at positions 50 to 154 of the family's 154-position model. The record is from RNAcentral. Lineage: Eukaryota; Fungi.
AAAAUGCGAUACGCAAUGCGAAUUGCAGAAUUCCGCGAAUCAUCAGAUCCUUGAACGCAACUGGCGCUGGAGGGCUCUCCUUCCAGCAUGCCUGUUUCAGUGUCUGAAAACUUCCACAAAAAUAUCAUAAUGUGUUUGACGAGUUGUCUGCCAAUUUAUUGGCUGAUUGACAAGUCUUACAUUAAAGAUGUAUUGCGUGGGGUCAUCGGGUCCCAUCGAAUUGGUCACUGACACUUCAGUGAUUUCGAUUGUGGAUACUUCAAACCGAAGACCAAAUACAUGCGCAAUAGAAUCAUUUAAACAAACUUCAACAUCUGCAUCUGAAAUCAGGCAAGAACACCCGCUGAACUUAA